Molecule: small RNA, 28 nt
Filed under: Bombyx mori (domestic silkworm)
Lineage: Eukaryota; Metazoa; Arthropoda; Insecta; Lepidoptera; Bombycidae
Description: piRNA piR-bmo-1794727
Source: RNAcentral
UUAAGGACAGCACUGACCUUCUCAGGGU